AUUCCUACGGGAGGCAGCAGUGGGGGAUAUUGCACAAUGGGGGGAACCCUGAUGCAGCGACGCCGCGUGAGUGAAGAAGUAUUUCGGUAUGUAAAGCUCUAUCAGCAGGGAAGAAGAAAGACGGUACCUGAGUAAGAAGCCCCGGCUAACUACGUGCCAGCAGCCGCGGUAAUACGUAGGGAGCAAGCGUUAUCCGGAUUUAUUGGGUGUAAAGGGUGCGUAGACGGGAAAUUAAGUUAGUUGUGAAAUCCCUCGGCUCAACUGAGGAACUGCAACUAAAACUGAUUUUCUUGAGUGCAGGAGAG
Molecule: ribosomal RNA, 305 nt
Filed under: uncultured bacterium
Lineage: Bacteria
Description: bacterial SSU rRNA
Rfam family: Bacterial small subunit ribosomal RNA
Source: RNAcentral